UUUGUUACUUCAAACCAAUCGGACUUCGGUCUGACAUCAAGUGAUAUUGAACAAUUUAGCUGAUCGCACGGUCUAAGAACCGGCGACAUAUCCUUCAAAUGUCUGCCUUAUCAACUUUCGAUGGUAGAUUAUGCGCCUACCAUGGUUGUAGCGGGUAACGGAGAAUCAGGGUUUGAUUCCGGAGAGGGAGCCUGAGAAACGGCUACCACAUCCAAGGAAGGCAGCAGGCACGCAAAUUACCCACUCCCGGCACGGGGAGGUAGUGACGAAAAAUAACAAGCUGGUCUCAAUGAGUUCCAGCAUUGUAAUGGGAACAAUUUAAAUCUUUUAUCGAGGAUCUAUUGGAGGGCAAGUCUGGUGCCAGCAGCCGCGGUAAUUCCAGCUCCAAUAGCGUAUAUUAAAGUUGUUGCGGUUAAAAAGCUCGUAGUUGGAUCUAGGAUUAGGGCUACGGUCGUUCAGCUUGGACGUACUGUAUGCCCGACUCCUUUUCUCUAGUAUUCGAUUGUUGCUCUUAAAUGAGUGACUUUAGUUGCUGGAACUUUUACCUUGAAAAAAUUGAAGUGCUCAAAGCAGGUU
RNAcentral lists this ribosomal RNA (576 nucleotides) under uncultured eukaryote. Its description in RNAcentral is "SSU rRNA". It matches the Rfam family "Eukaryotic small subunit ribosomal RNA", at positions 203 to 786 of the family's 1831-position model. The record is from RNAcentral.